GUGUCUUCAUUGCUUCCUUCGCUCUUUAUAUCUUCCGAUCCAAAACUUCUCGCUCUCCCUCUCAUCCCCAAGGAAUCUCCCUUGUUUGAUUUCAUUUCAAUUCAAUUCAAUUCAAUUCAGGAUUAAGGAAAAGCUUUAGUUACAUGCUUCCACGGGAAGUGCUUUAAUGCAGCAAAGGAAAUGGUGACUGCAGGGUUGAGAUGAGCACCGGAGAUGUGGCCGGUGGAGAGGAUGAUGAUCAUAACGGCAAGACCAGUCGAGGUAGCACAUCCGAUCAGAGUUUCCGCCCCGUUUGUCUUUUGGUUUACAAUAGCAGUGGCUGUCCCAGCAAACAUCAGAAUAAAUGUCCCUAUAAACUCAGCUCCUAUCUGUAACACAGGAGGAGGAGGUGGCAUUAAUGAACAAGUGACGGUGGGUAGAGCUCCAUCUUCUAAGGUCCAUUCUUGGACACCGAAACAUUUACAAUUCUUUAGGAGGGACUUCUUGUACUUAUUACUACCAUUCCCACUUCUCUCUGACUUAAACCCACCAAACAGAGGUGCACCAGGAGUGCCUGGUGUUGCUGGUGCUGAUGGAAUUUCCUCAUUAUUAAUAUGCUCCAUUUCUCCAAUCAAUAGUAAAUUUAAUUUAGACAAGAAAAGGUCAGAAUUCAGACUAUGGAAGUGAGCUCAAGGUGAUUGUUGCUAUUGUAUGUCAAGUAUAUAUAGCAGUAACAAGCAAGGGAGUAUAGUUGACUUAUUGUAUAGCAUGAUUGGCAUUACUAGGAAAAUGAAAAGAAGCAAAUUAGUGGUUGAAACUGAGAUAUGAGAAAAAGGUAGCAGCAUGUGGAAGUGGACGGUGGGACAAUCAGUACUGAGGUGACUCUUACAUGACUCUAGAACUUAGCAAAAAGGCUUGGUUCACGGUACACUACACUAGGCAUCAAUUAUAGUAUAUAGUUUUUGGUUCAUCUUCUAUUGAAGUACAUAUGUAUAUGUAUGCAAUCAAUCUUUAUUAUAAAAUUGCCUAUAUCAACUUGUAUAUUA
This is a long non-coding RNA of Trifolium pratense (red clover), 1025 nucleotides long. RefSeq lists it as uncharacterized. The record is from RefSeq and is a predicted model, not a curated record. NCBI's taxonomy places the organism in Eukaryota, Viridiplantae, Streptophyta, Magnoliopsida, Fabales, Fabaceae. The transcript has 3 exons.